RNAcentral lists this small RNA (2547 nucleotides) under Vigna angularis var. angularis. Its description in RNAcentral is "Non-protein coding transcript". Lineage: Eukaryota; Viridiplantae; Streptophyta; Magnoliopsida; Fabales; Fabaceae. The record is from RNAcentral.
CGAAAUUUGAUAUGAACUAUCGCUUUCUCUCAAUUUCAGUCACAAAGAGAAGGAAGGGCGAUUCGCCAUCGAGCAUCUCGCAACCUAAUUUUCAACCAAACAUGAAACCCAUGUUUUUCAAUUUUCAAGUAACCCUGAAAUCGAACUAGAUCUAAUUCAUAUGCUGUUCAAGAGAGCUCCUUUUAUCCAUCAGAGAGAUGUUGGAACAGGAAAGGUCGGUUGAGAACCCUAAAUCGUGGAAUAUGGGUUUAGCUUUUGCAAAUUUGUUAAAUAUCGAUUGGUAAGUACCGAAGGUUUGUUUGAACACUUGUUUUUGUUAGGAAACUUAGUAUGAAAUUUUCAGCCCUGUACAAGGAUUUUUUCUUAGUUUAAUAGAUGAGUUUUAUAUUAUCAACUAAUUGGAAAUCAUUGUUGGUUAUAAUUUUUAAGUUAUUAUUAUUAUGAAAAUAGAUAGACUUAUUAUACAUGACGUUUCGAAUUCCUCUACACAUACAUUACUUUUUUAAACUUAAUGUUCAACGUUUUUUUUGUCAAAAUCACAUUUCUCUUUUGCAAACGGGAAUUUCAAGGCUGUGCUUUCAUAAAUCUUAACAUGUCAGAUGUCUGAGUUUGUUCAGGCUAUAUUAGAUUGCUCUCGCUGUGCUGGAUUGCAGGUAUUUUCUGCUUCUUCAGAUGACGAACAUUGAGUUUAUAUUGCCCCUUGUCUGUUAUUUAUAGAAAUUGUGGAUCUUUAUGAUUUCAAUGAGUGAAUUCAAAUAUUGGAUAUUGGCUGGUUGAUGUUUGACACAUGGUUGUUUGUUGCGUGCUAUCUUUCAUUCCCUUAACAAUCAAAAGGAGUAUCUGCUUAACAUGGUUUUAUGGUAUUGGUUGUUAGAUGGUACUCACACUGCUGUCAUUAAAUAUCGUUGUUCAUGUCACUUCAUGUGUUGGAUGCCUACUAAAUAUCACGUUAGCAAAUAAGCUGUUUACUGUGAAAAAUCUAACCUUGGAAGUCAUAAUGACCCCAAGAUAAUAUGAACUUAAAAGAAUUAGGAUUUCCUUUACCUAGAAAUCCAGAUUGAUUUGAGUGAUAAAAGGUUUUCAAAUGGCUAUACAGAAUAUAAUUUUCUGCUUACAUGUCUCACCAUAUUAUCAAGGAAAUAAAUGAAGUUCCAAAAAUUUGAAUAUAUAUGCUCCUAGGCAACUUGGCUAAUUGAAAACAAAUGUAGUUCUUUCUGUUAAGAAAUUUUAAUUGAAUGAUGAAACUUGAUAAAAAAAAUCAAGUGAAAUAUCUUGCCAUAUAGCUGGAGGCAGCAUUCAAAGGAUAAAAAUAGACAGUUGCAUUUGGUACCAUUUGGUGAGUGAUGUGUAAUACUAGCUUGGAGUUUUCCAGUUUUCCCGUAUACCUUUUUUGUGUAGUCUUUAGCUAUAUGAAAAUAUCAAACUCAAGUGUAGUCCAUAGCUCCAUUGCCUAUCUAGUGUCGAGCCGAAUGGAUACUGAAGUUUUAUUCUCUAACCCUCUAUGCUAUAAAAUGCAAUAGCUACAUGGUUAUGUAUAUAAAAGAAAAGUAACUAACAGUCAGAAGAAGGCAGGUUCAAUUUCAAGACAUUGAACAAUUCUGGCUUUAGAAGUCAUAAUAAGAACAUAUACUUGCCUUGUUUUGGUUACUCUUCAACUACUUUUGAAGUGCAUCAUCAACCACUGCUAUUUACACAAUCAAAUGACUAAUUUAACAAUUAUAACUAUUCAAGCUUACCCCAUAUGUGUUUGCAUACUCAACUUUUGAAUGCAUUACCCAUGCUAAUUCUCCUGAAAUCAAAUCAAUCAUUUGUUUACACAGGAAGAAGAGUAGUACUAGUCAUUUACACCUCUCACACAUCACCUUACAUACAUAUAAUAUAGCGACUAAAGUACCUAUUUAACCAACAAUCAGCUAACUUCAGCAUUGGUAGUUAAAUAUGGGUAGAUUUAACUAAGUUUAAUAGCUGGCUAAUCAGAGUUAUGUAUUGGGAAAUGUUUGAGUUGAGCUCUAUUUACGAAAGAGUAAUGGAUAAAAGCUCUUGCUCAUGAUUCAGAGUUAAAGAAAAAUAGUUGACAAUGUAGAAGUACUACAAUCGAAGUAACUACUAUAACAGUUGAGGGUUUUCAUUUUCAUUCGAAGAAAAUUAAAUGUGAAUAUCUACAUUUAAGUUCUUUAUAUCUAAGCAAUAAAAUUACUUUCCUCUCUUCUUCUAGUUACUUCUUCCAUGGUUCCAAAACAGCGAGUACGAUGAUGAGGGCAAUGACCAAGAGCAAUAUAAUGGAAAUCAUCAUGCAUUUUCUUGACUUCUUUUGCAAACUUUUUGCAGUUUGGAGAGCAUCGUUACCCAGUCUCACAUGAUCAGUUGCGUUUGUCACCUGUUCAUUACAAAAUGGCAUUUUUAAAAGACAUGAUUAGAUCUAUAAUUCAAGUUAUUUUGUUUCUUUGUAUAGUAUGAUUUUUAAACUUCUCGUGCUUACAUGGCACAAUCUAUAUAUCUAAAACUAAAACUAUAAAUAUUAUUGAACAACAAUACCUACAAUAUCCU